GAAAAAAAAAACAAAACCUGAAAUCUGAGGAGUGAUUUGUCAAGAAGAAGGGAUAUACGUUUUCAGAUGGAACCUUCUGAAGAGGAGGAGUGUGUGUGUAUGUGUAAAUACAAGUGUGAACAUGAAGAAAGGAUAAUAAAGUGAAGAGUGGAAAUACACAUAUGUCUAAUGUGUAUACACAUAAAUACAUGGAUACACAUGUCUAAAUGGCCUUCAGUUUUGAGCUGUCUUUCCUUACAUACAGCAAUAAAAAUUUGAUUUUGUGAGAACUUUAUUCUUCCUAACCUUGAAUUUUCUACAGGUA
Molecule: long non-coding RNA, 304 nt
Filed under: Homo sapiens (human)
Lineage: Eukaryota; Metazoa; Chordata; Mammalia; Primates; Hominidae
Description: HSALNT0210096
Source: RNAcentral